UUUUUUGGUACUGGGAAAACUUCAAAAUGCAUCAUGUAGUCAGUCUCACUGAAUUUUCCUUUGGAGGAGGAGGUGGGGAGGGAACACAAUGGGGGCUGAUUUCUUCUGCUCUUUUUGCUAAUUACAUUGGCUAAGUGAUCUUCACAGAGGGUUGUCCUUGUGGCUUUUUGCUCUCCCUCUGCCCAUUUCAGGGUGGUGCCUGUGGUUUUCUGUAACUCUUGAACCUCUUUGGGUGGGAACAAAAACGUCCAUCAUGUAUAUCCUGUUACAUAGGUGUGUGUGUGUGUGUGUGUGUGUGUGUAUAUAUAUAUAUAUAUUUUUUUUUUCACCCCAGGCAAUUCUAAAUUCUGUCACGAUGCCUGAAAGAGGCAACCCCCUCCUGAGCACCAAGGGACCAGGGGUGAGAGGGUGGCAUCAGAUAAAGGCCACCAUCAAGGGACAGAUUGGAGCCAGAAUCUUGGAGGAAACGUUAUUAAUAAACAUCUUCUGGACGUUUGGUAGCCCGUGGAGCUUGCUCCAGCUUAAAGCAAUUAAUUCAGGACACUGACAUAAACUCUCCAGGUCUUUGACAGCUUGGAGCCGAAAUAAAAAUGCUAGUUCUCCGGGGAAGAGAGGAGGAUGGCUAGCUCUUUUCUGGACUGUUUGCUUAUAGGCCCAGCGAGCAACCUUCCUUGCAGAAUGAAAUGCAAGGGCACAAACAAUGUACCAGGGAGAGAAUAGAAGAUGAGAAU
Molecule: long non-coding RNA, 731 nt
Filed under: Marmota monax (woodchuck)
Lineage: Eukaryota; Metazoa; Chordata; Mammalia; Rodentia; Sciuridae
Source: RNAcentral